AGCGGAGGAAAAGAAACUAACUAGGAUGCGCUUMGUACACGGCGAGCGAACCGCGCAAAGCCCAACUUGAAAAUCUCCCUUGGAGAAUUGUAGUCUAUAGAAGUACCCUCUGUAACGGGCGCAGCUCAAGUCUCCUGGAAAGGGGCGUCAGAGAGGGUGAGAACCCCGUAAGCUGUUGCUUUGUUGCCUCACGAGGUGCUUUCAAAGAGUCGGGUUGCUUGGGAAUGCAGCCCAAAUUUGGUGGUAAAUCCCAUCUAAGGCUAAAUAUUGGCGAGAGACCGAUAGCGAACAAGUACCGUGAGGGAAAGAUGAAAAGAACUUUGAAAAGAGAGUUAAAAAGUGCUUGAAAUUGUUGAGGGGGAAGCGUUUGAAUGCUAGAGUGCGCCUAGGCUUAUGGGUUCUUAACGGAGCUCUGUAUGCGCUAGGUGCUGGCCAGCAUGGGUUAGGCGAGCGGGAUAAACGCUGGGGUUGAUACCCGGUCUAUGCCGCUUGCUUGACCAAGGCGUGAAGACUGCCCUUGUCCUUCGGGAACUGCUAGUCUCAAGAUGCUGGCAAAAGGCUUUCAMCCGACCCGUCUUGAAACACGGACCAAGGAGUCUAACAUGUAUGCGAGUUGGUGGGUGGAAAACCCAUGAAGCGUAAGGAAACUGACUGGUGAGAUGGCCUGUGCCUGCAUCAUCGACCGACCAUGCGUUUCUGCAAAAGGUUUGAGUGCGAGCAUACCUGUUGGGACCCGAAAGAUGGUGAACUAUGCCUGAGCAGGGUGAAGCCAGGUGAAAACCUGGUGGAGGCUCGUAGAUGUGCUSACGUGCAAAUCGCUYUUCGGACUUGGGUAUAGGGGCGAAAGACUAAUCGAACCUUCUAGUA
Molecule: ribosomal RNA, 867 nt
Filed under: Tetradesmus obliquus
Lineage: Eukaryota; Viridiplantae; Chlorophyta; Chlorophyceae; Sphaeropleales; Scenedesmaceae
Description: eukaryotic LSU rRNA
Rfam family: Eukaryotic large subunit ribosomal RNA
Source: RNAcentral